Molecule: long non-coding RNA, 1050 nt
Filed under: Marmota monax (woodchuck)
Lineage: Eukaryota; Metazoa; Chordata; Mammalia; Rodentia; Sciuridae
Source: RNAcentral
UGUAAGUUGCAAAUGCAUUUAAUACAUCUUAUCCAAUAUCCAAGACAUCAUAGCUUAGCCCAGCUUACCUUAAAGGUUCUGAGAACACUUACAUUAGCCUACAGAUGAGCAGAAUUAUUUAUUACCGAACCCAUUUUAUAUAAAAUAUUGAAUAUCUCAUGUAUGUACACAGAUGGUCUUUUUGUAGCCAUGAUGGGAUGUUAAAACACAAAAUGGAAUAACCAAAGAAUACUAGCAACAUAGUACACUGUCUAGUUUUGGUUGUCUACUCUGAUAAUUGUGGGCUGACCAGAAGCAACAGCUUACUGCUGCUGUUCAGCAUCAUAAGAUAGUAUCAUACCACAUAUCACUGGCUCAAGAGGAGAUAAAACUUCAAAAUGUGAUUUCUACUGAAUACAUAUUGCUCUAACAUUAUUGAAAAGUUGAAAAAGAGUAAGCCAAACCAUCAUAGUAAAGAACUACCUUAUAUAAUUUUCCUUCUCAAAGAAGAACUUAUUUAAUUGUGGAACCAACCUACAUGCCUUUCAAUAGAUGAAUGGAUAAAAAAACUGUGGUAUAUAUACACAAUGGAAUGUUACUCAGCAUUAAAAGAGAAUAAAAUCAUGGCAUUUGCUGGUAAAUAGAUGGAGUUGGAGAGUAUUAUGCUAAGUGAAUUAAGCCAAUUCCAAAAAAACAAAUGCUGAAUGUUUUCUCUGAUAAGUAGUUGCUGACCCAUAAUAGGUGACGGGGAGAGCUUGGGAGGAAUUUUGGAUGAGACAAAGGAGAGAGAAGGGAAGGGAGGAUGCAUGGGGAUAGGAAAGAGGGUGGGAUGAGAUGGACAUCAUUACCCUAGGUGCAUGUAUGAAGUCACAAAUGGUGUUACUCUACUUUGUGUACAACCAGAGAAAUGAAAAAUUGUUCUCUUUGUACUAUGAAUUAAAAUGCUUUCUGCUGUUAUGUAUAACAAAAUAGAAUAAAUAGCUAUUUCUUUUUUUUUUUGGCCAUAGUAUUUUUAUUUUUUUUUAUUUAUUUUUUUAUUGGUUGUUCAAAACAUUAUAAAGCUAUUGACAU